RNAcentral lists this ribosomal RNA (439 nucleotides) under uncultured Bacillota bacterium. RNAcentral's name for it is "bacterial SSU rRNA". It matches the Rfam family "Bacterial small subunit ribosomal RNA", at positions 917 to 1359 of the family's 1533-position model. Lineage: Bacteria; Bacillati; Bacillota. The record is from RNAcentral.
GGGCCCGCACAAGCGGUGGAUUAUGUGGUUUAAUUCGAAGCAACGCGAAGAACCUUACCAGGAUUUGACAUCCUACUAACGAAGUAGAGAUACAUUAGGUGCCCUUCGGGGAAAGUAGAGACAGGUGGUGCAUGGUUGUCGUCAGCUCGUGUCGUGAGAUGUUGGGUUAAGUCCCGCAACGAGCGCAACCCUUAUUGUUAGUUGCUACGCAAGAGCACUCUAGCGAGACUGCCGUUGACAAAACGGAGGAAGGUGGGGACGACGUCAAAUCAUCAUGCCCUUUAUGUCCUGGGCUACACACGUAAUACAAUGGCGGCCAACAGAGGGAAGCAAUACCGUGAGGAGGAGCAAAUCCCUAAAAGCCGUCUCAGUUCGGAUCGCAGGCUGCAACCCGCCUGCGUGAAGUCGGAAUCGCUAGUAAUCGCGGAUCAGCAUGCCG